CUUCAUACAUGCAAGUCGGACGAUUAAAGCCCGCAAGGGCAUAUAAAGUGGCGAACGGGUGAGUAACAGGUGGAUAACCUGCCCUGUAGCGGGGGACAACAGCUGGAAACGGCUGCUAAUACCGCAUGUGGUUGCGCUCCUCAGGGAGUGCAAAGAAAGGCGCGUUUGCGCCACUACAGGAUGGAUCCGCCCCCCAUUAGCUAGUUGGUGAGAUAAUAGCCCACCAAGGCAACGAUGGGUAGCCGGACUGAGAGGUUGGCCGGCCACACUGGGACUGAGACACGGCCCAGACACCUACGGGUGGCAGCAGUAGGGAAUAUUGGACAAUGGGCGCAAGCCUGAUCCAGCCAUGCCGCGUGAACGACGAAGGCCUUCGGGUUGUAAAGUUCUUUUCUGAGGGAAGAACAUCCCGGGUAGGAAAUGUCCCGGGUUUGACGGUACCUCAGGAAUAAGCAACGGCUAACUCCGUGCCAGCAGCCGCGGUAGUACGGAGGUUGCAAGCGUUGUUCGGAUUUACUGGGCGUAAAGGGAGCGCAGGCGGUUUGGUCAGUCUGAAGUGAAAUCCCGGGGCUCAACCCCGGAAUGGCUUUGGAUACUGCCAGACUUGAGUUCGUGAGAGGCGAGUGGAAUUCCAGGUGUAGCGGUGAAAUGCGUAGAUAUCUGGAGGAACACCAGUGGCGAAAGCGGCUCGCUGGCACGAUACUGACGCUCAUGCUCGAAAGCGUGGGGAGCGAACGGGAUUAGAUACCCCGGUAGUCCACGCCGUAAACGUUGUGCACUAGGUGUAGGAGGUAUCGACCCCUCCUGUGCCGUAGCUAACGCGUUAAGUGCCCCGCCUGGGGAGUACGGCCGCAAGGUUGAAACUCAAAUGAAUUGACGG
Molecule: ribosomal RNA, 880 nt
Filed under: uncultured bacterium
Lineage: Bacteria
Description: bacterial SSU rRNA
Rfam family: Bacterial small subunit ribosomal RNA
Source: RNAcentral